CCCGACCAUGUUGAGGAACAAUGCUGCUCGAAUUCUCGGCACAUGAUUUCUCACAUUCGUGUAGAAUAGAGGGCGCCGGUGUAUGUAAGAGAAAAACAGUUGCUGGCCGAUAAUAAUCGCCAUAGUUAUCUGAAUUCAAGCUAUCAGAAAACAAAUUUCACAAGUAUUCACAAGAUUUGGUGGAUCGGGUCAGCUGUUUGCAGCUUUUCCACACAAUAGCCACACGUGACUAGACUGUAGAGAACAAAAUGAGACCGUUCUGAAAUGAAAUACAACCGAAAUCCAUUCUUGGGAGAUUUCGUGGUCUGUCGAAAACAAUAGACGCACGUGCCUGUAAUAAAGUUGUCUAAUGCAGAUGCAUACCCAUGACAAUGACAGCAAAACAUUGUUGAAGAAUUUAUGCAUACAAAAAACUAAAACAAUUCCCACGCUCCUCUGCCCGAAAUCUCUCUGGUUUCCUCCAAAACCUAAUCUUAUCAAUACGCCAUCCAGAUCUAUACAGUGCCGCCUUCGGGGUUCUGUUCAUAAUGUACUGUUUGCACUGUCGGCAUUUGAAAGAACUCCAAAGCCAGCAUCCACAUAGCGACAUUUGUCGCUGCGGUCGAAAGGUCAAGGUGGGCCAUUGUCUGCCAGGCCCCAAGAGAGUGCCCCAAAACGAUCUGGCGAACCUUUCCCAAUUGGAAUUACCGAAUUCACUUCCGUUUUGCACAAAUUAGCAGUUCCAGGUUCAGCUUCUGCCCCGCAGAUCACUCGCAACCCGGCAGCUGAGACGUGUUUGCGUGCUAAAAGUUCUUACAACUUUUCACACUUUAAAUGAGUUCUGACGACAAUUAAAAUACUUGCAUUUAUAUUACAUAUUUACAAUAAAUGUAUAUACAUACAUAUAGUAUAUGGCUGUAGAAUGCCGGCCCCCAAAUUGGGGAAUAAUGAAGUUUUUAAAAAUACUCGUACUUCCCUUGGAUAUGGCUGUGCCGCGCUUUCGCCCACUAUUAAAGCCCAAUCAUAAAGCGGCGCACACGACUCGUGGUGUUCAUUGCAAGCCAAUUUGGCAAU
This 1053-nucleotide small RNA is filed under the name Drosophila pseudoobscura pseudoobscura. RNAcentral describes it as "GA32512". Lineage: Eukaryota; Metazoa; Arthropoda; Insecta; Diptera; Drosophilidae. The record is from RNAcentral.